UGCACGGUGGCGCAGUUGGUAGCACUGUUGCUUUGCACUGUUGCUUUGCAGCAAAAAGGUCCUGGGUUCGAUUCCCGGAGUUUGCAU
Molecule: non-coding RNA, 87 nt
Organism: Crenichthys baileyi (White River springfish)
Lineage: Eukaryota; Metazoa; Chordata; Actinopteri; Cyprinodontiformes; Goodeidae
Source: the annotation of a GenBank genome assembly